UUCAUGGUGGCUACUCGAAGCGUGCAUAUCUUUGUGUGGAAGUAAAAAACCCAAGGAUUAUACGUAUGCUCAACUUGGACAAAAUCAAAGAUGAUUCCACUAAUACUGCAACCCAAUCCAGUACAACCCAGUGGAAGAAUGACCAGAAAAGCAAAAAUAUUUUAAGAAACUAUGGGAUAUUUUCUCGUCGUAGUCAACAUGAGACACAUUCUCUUCUUAAGGUUCUACCGAAAAGCAAAGAGGGGGUGAUCGGAAAGGACCAAAAUGUUCAAGAAAACUCUUAAUGACUAACUAAAAAUGAAGGUUUUUCUAAUAAAGGCAAGUGCCAAAAUGUACCGUAUAAAUAUAUUUUGUGAUUAUGCAUGUAAUAAUUAAUAAACGUUUUAAAAUUCAAA
This 395-nucleotide long non-coding RNA is filed under the name Pectinophora gossypiella (pink bollworm). RNAcentral's name for it is "uncharacterized LOC126370343". The record is from RNAcentral. Lineage: Eukaryota; Metazoa; Arthropoda; Insecta; Lepidoptera; Gelechiidae.